AACGAACGCUGGCGGCAUGCCUAACACAUGCAAGUCGAACGAGACCUUCGGGUCUAGUGGCGCACGGGUGCGUAACGCGUGGGAAUCUGCCCUUGGGUCCGGAAUAACUCAGAGAAAUUUGAGCUAAUACCGGAUGAUGACGUAAGUCCAAAGAUUUAUCGCCCAGGGAUGAGCCCGCGUAGGAUUAGCUAGUUGGUGAGGUAAAGGCUCACCAAGGCGACGAUCCUUAGCUGGUCUGAGAGGAUGAUCAGCCACACUGGGACUGAGACACGGCCCAGACUCCUACGGGAGGCAGCAGUGGGGAAUAUUGGACAAUGGGCGAAAGCCUGAUCCAGCAAUGCCGCGUGAGUGAUGAAGGCCUUAGGGUUGUAAAGCUCUUUUACCCGGGGAUGAUAAUGACAGUACCGGGAGAAUAAGCCCCGGCUAACUCCGUGCCAGCAGCCGCCGU
This 448-nucleotide ribosomal RNA is filed under the name uncultured bacterium. RNAcentral describes it as "bacterial SSU rRNA". It matches the Rfam family "Bacterial small subunit ribosomal RNA", at positions 29 to 521 of the family's 1533-position model. The record is from RNAcentral.